AUUGCUUCUCAGCCUUUUGGCUAAGAUCACGUGUAGUAUCUGUUCUUACCAGAAAGUAUAAAAUAUCUGAAAUAAGAAAACUAAAUCAGGGACAAGUGAUUCAGAUCCAUAUAUGUAUGUGUCCUUUGUAUGAUGUGAACAUGAAUAACUGCUUAUAGUUAAAAGAGAAGUCCACAUAUAGAGACACAUUACUGUGU
Pteronotus mesoamericanus is the source of this 197-nucleotide small nuclear RNA. RefSeq annotates it as U2 spliceosomal RNA. NCBI's taxonomy places the organism in Eukaryota, Metazoa, Chordata, Mammalia, Chiroptera, Mormoopidae. The transcript has a single exon. The record is from RefSeq and is a predicted model, not a curated record.